RNAcentral lists this long non-coding RNA (251 nucleotides) under Gossypium raimondii (Peruvian cotton). RNAcentral's name for it is "long non-coding RNA (GRAI_LNC008952)". Lineage: Eukaryota; Viridiplantae; Streptophyta; Magnoliopsida; Malvales; Malvaceae. The record is from RNAcentral.
GAAGGGAAAUUUUCCCUUCUCCUCUAAAACGGUGUUGUUCAAAAGGAUUAAAUUGGAAUUUAAAAUAAAUAAAAGGGUAAAUUAAAAAAAUAAAGAAAACUUAAUUACAAAAACAUUAAAAGGCGGAGGGGCUAAAUAAAAUUCGCAGUGGUAUCACAUUCUCCCUUUUUUAAAAUCGUAAAUAAGUAAAAAAAUAAUCGAAAGAAAAAAAUAGUAAACCACCUUUAAAAAACUGCCAAUCGUUCUUUUUU